This 562-nucleotide ribosomal RNA is filed under the name Daphnia muddensis. Its description in RNAcentral is "partial 12S ribosomal RNA". Lineage: Eukaryota; Metazoa; Arthropoda; Branchiopoda; Diplostraca; Daphniidae. The record is from RNAcentral.
GGUUAGACGAAGAAUCUGAAUGGAGUAAUUUAUUAUUUUAAUUAACAGUAAAUAGUUUUAAGUAAAUUUAUUUUUUUCUUUAGGUGAAAUUUAUAUAAAAGAACAAAUAAUCUUGGAUUAUUUAUAGGAAUUAAUAAGUGAAGAUAAAAAACCAGGAUUAGAUACCCUGUUAUUCUUUAUAAUGUUUAGUAGGGUAGUAAAAGUUAUUCUUCAAACCCAAAGAUUUUGGCGGCAUUUUAUCCAAACAGAGGAGCUUGUCUUAUAAUCGAUAAUCCUCGUUUUAUCUUACCUUUAUUUGUAUAGCUUGUAUACCUCCGUUGACAGAUUACUCUAAAAGGAUGUUUUCUACAAAAAUUAUUUUUUUUACUUCAGGUCAAGGUGCAGUUUAUAUAAAGGAAAUGAUGAGCUACAAUUUUUUAAAAAAAACGGAUUUCAAUUUAAAACUUGAUUGAAGGUGGAUUUGUUAGUAAGCUUUACUAAAGAAAAGUAAGCUGAACUAGGCAAUAGAAUGUGCACAUAUCGCCCGUCACUCUCCUUCUAAGAGGAGAUAAGUCGUAACAAA